RNAcentral lists this ribosomal RNA (584 nucleotides) under Acinetobacter baumannii. Its description in RNAcentral is "partial 23S ribosomal RNA". It matches the Rfam family "Bacterial large subunit ribosomal RNA", at positions 601 to 1186 of the family's 2925-position model. The record is from RNAcentral. Lineage: Bacteria; Pseudomonadati; Pseudomonadota; Gammaproteobacteria; Moraxellales; Moraxellaceae.
GUACCUUUUGUAUAAUGGGUCAGCGACUUAUAUUCAGUAGCAAGGUUAACCGUAUAGGGGAGCCGUAGAGAAAUCGAGUCUUAAUAGGGCGUUUAGUUGCUGGGUAUAGACCCGAAACCAGGCGAUCUAUCCAUGAGCAGGUUGAAGGUUGGGUAACACUAACUGGAGGACCGAACCCACUGUCGUUGAAAAGCCAGGGGAUGACUUGUGGAUAGGGGUGAAAGGCUAAUCAAGCCUGGUGAUAGCUGGUUCUCCCCGAAAGCUAUUUAGGUAGCGCCUCGGACGAAUACCAUAGGGGGUAGAGCACUGUUUCGGCUAGGGGGUCAUCCCGACUUACCAAACCGAUGCAAACUCCGAAUACCUAUGAGUACUAUCCGGGAGACAGACUGCGGGUGCUAACGUCCGUAGUCAAGAGGAAAACAAUCCAGACCGCCAGCUAAGGCCCCAAAAUCAUAGUUAAGUGGGAAACGAUGUGGGAAGGCAUAGACAGCUAGGAGGUUGGCUUAGAAGCAGCCACCCUUUAAAGAAAGCGUAAUAGCUCACUAGUCGAGUCGGCCUGCGCGGAAGAUGUAACGGGGCUAAAA